CAGCAGCCGCGGGAAUACGAAGGGUGCAAGCGUUACUCGGAAUUACUGGGCGUAAAGCGUGCGUAGGUGGCUCGUUAAGUCUGAUGUGAAAGCUCUGGGCUCAACCUGGGAAUUGCAUUGGAUACUGGCGAGCUAGAGUGCGGUAGAGGGUAGUGGAAUUCCCGGUGUAGCAGUGAAAUGCGUAGAGAUCGGGAGGAACAUCUGUGGCGAAGGCGACUGCCUGGGCCAGCACUGACACUGAGGCACGAAAGCGUGGGGAGCAAACAGGAUUAGAUACCCCUGUAGUCCCUGUCUCUUAUAC
RNAcentral lists this ribosomal RNA (301 nucleotides) under uncultured bacterium. RNAcentral's name for it is "partial 16S ribosomal RNA". It matches the Rfam family "Bacterial small subunit ribosomal RNA", at positions 509 to 807 of the family's 1533-position model. The record is from RNAcentral.